CGUAAAUAAUACGUAACAGGUGUUACUUCGUUCUCUUCCUGCUUAAUCCAUUUUGCAAAUUAUUACGUAAAUGUCACAUAUCGCCCGAAACCAAAAGUUUUAGAAGAGAAAAUACCCAAAAAGUGGACCACGAGUGAGGUUUACAAUGAUGCCAUGUUCCAUAUGUCGCUUAGUCUUUAUGCGCAUAGUAAACCAUAUUUCCCUUUCAUAAAGUGGACCGAACAACAUGUUGUGCUGGGUACUAUUUUGAAUCUUGGUAUUGGGACACAAAACUAUCAAAAACACUAUCAAUGACUUAUGAAUUUCUCAGUCCAGCGGUCAAAUUUCAAAUUGUUAAUUAUGUCCUGUACUAAUACUGCAAUGAUGAUUACAUAAGAUUUGCAAACUGUCUUCGAAUCAGGUUUCGAAGAGAAAAAAUCGUGAUUAUGCUGUUGAAAACUUCAUCCAACCGACAAGUGAGCACCGGAAACAUGAAAAUCCUCCUUUCGCAAGCUUUAAGUUAAAUUCGAUCUUUACAAUGGCAUUAUAUCAACACUUUAUGACUUCGUGUAGACAAGCUAUUUUAACGAUGUCUUAUCGAACGCACUUAGAUUAAAAAAAAAACUUCGAUCUUUUUUUUCAUGAGAUUUGCGUGGGAUUGACAUCAAAUGGAUAACACCUAUGUGAAACUUUUGUAUGUUAAAAAUAAAACUUUUAUCGCCUGUCUUGUAAAA
Molecule: long non-coding RNA, 713 nt
Organism: Xenia sp. Carnegie-2017
Lineage: Eukaryota; Metazoa; Cnidaria; Anthozoa; Malacalcyonacea; Xeniidae
Exons: 2
Source: RefSeq, a predicted model, not a curated record